GGAAGGUGGUGAGUGUUGCGUCUCCGCCUGCUUCGAACUUCAUCAGUUUUAAAAGUAGCCUGUUAGGACAGUAUGGAUCCAUCAGAACUAAGGUAUUUGGAGGAUGAUAAUACUCCCACAAUGAAAACAAUUAAGGGUGCAACUAUGGGUUUAGUUGCUGGAACUAUCUGGGGGACUGUUGUUGCCACUUGGUAUGAUGUGCCUCGUGUUGAGAAACAUAUUGCACUUCCAGGGCUAAUAAGGACCGUCAAGAUGAUGGGUAACCACGGCAUAACUUUUGCAGCAAUUGGAGGAGUUUACAUUGGUGUUGAGCAGAUGAUGCAGCAUUAUAGGAUGAAAAGAGAUUUUGUCAAUGGAGCUGUUGGUGGCUUUGUUGCUGGGGCUUCCAUUUUAGGCUUCAAAGGAAGGAGCAUCUCAACAGCUAUUUCUGCUGGAACAGCACUGGCAGUUACUUCUGCAGCAAUUGAUGCUGGAGGUCAAACCACAAGAAUAGACACUGGCAAGGAGUACUACCCGUACACCACCAAGAAGAGAUCCACAGUAGAGAGUUAAUUUCUUGGCGCUAAUGGGGAAGAAAUUUUAUGGUUUCCCGAAUGACCUGUAUGUUUUUGGAGACGUAAUUGUAUUCUCGGAUCUCAUAUCUGCAGCUCACUUAGUGCCUGAAUGGGUGAUCAAACUAAAUUCAGUUGUCAUUCUGUUCAAAAGAUCUGUUGGAUGUUUAUUUUGCAGCUUGAGACGGCAAUUUUUAUCUGUGAAACUAAAUUAAAGAGGCCAAGAAAAAUAAUUGAUAUCGUACCUUUGAAAGUGGGAGAAGGAUUAUGUGGAGAGUUUUCUUUACCUUGUGCAAACCAAAGUUGUUAAAAACUUGGGUUUGAUUAUCAAACUUCGUUAUGAAGAAUUUCUACAUUAUUUGAUUGCAGUUGGCACCAAGCAUACAAGUUUCUUCAAAUAUCUUCUGUUCUGCGCAACCAUAUAAGAGCAAUCCAACCGGAGAGAUGUAAAUGGUGCAAAAUCAAAUUGGAAGUUCUAGCAAGUAGCUUCCUACACUGUAAAUAUUAUAAAGUCGUGUAAGCUACCUCAAAUAAACAGUGUUUGGUGCCUUGCCUUGAACUGUCAGGUUGUGGUCAAGUUAUUUUGGCCUCUCGAUAAGAACAGUAAAAUCAUUUGAAAUUAUUCUAUGCUUCUAACUAAUUCCUUAUCU
This 1201-nucleotide unclassified non-coding RNA is filed under the name Hevea brasiliensis (rubber tree). Lineage: Eukaryota; Viridiplantae; Streptophyta; Magnoliopsida; Malpighiales; Euphorbiaceae. The record is from RNAcentral.